This 1426-nucleotide ribosomal RNA is filed under the name Klebsiella pneumoniae subsp. ozaenae. RNAcentral's name for it is "bacterial SSU rRNA". It matches the Rfam family "Bacterial small subunit ribosomal RNA". Lineage: Bacteria; Pseudomonadati; Pseudomonadota; Gammaproteobacteria; Enterobacterales; Enterobacteriaceae. The record is from RNAcentral.
GGCAGCUAACACAUGCAGUCGAGCGGUAGCACAGAGAGCUUGCUCUCGGGUGACGAGCGGCGGACGGGUGAGUAAUGUCUGGGAAACUGCCUGAUGGAGGGGGAUAACUACUGGAAACGGUAGCUAAUACCGCAUAACGUCGCAAGACCAAAGUGGGGGACCUUCGGGCCUCAUGCCAUCAGAUGUGCCCAGAUGGGAUUAGCUAGUAGGUGGGGUAACGGCUCACCUAGGCGACGAUCCCUAGCUGGUCUGAGAGGAUGACCAGCCACACUGGAACUGAGACACGGUCCAGACUCCUACGGGAGGCAGCAGUGGGGAAUAUUGCACAAUGGGCGCAAGCCUGAUGCAGCCAUGCCGCGUGUGUGAAGAAGGCCUUCGGGUUGUAAAGCACUUUCAGCGGGGAGGAAGGCGUUAAGGUUAAUAACCUUGUCGAUUGACGUUACCCGCAGAAGAAGCACCGGCUAACUCCGUGCCAGCAGCCGCGGUAAUACGGAGGGUGCAAGCGUUAAUCGGAAUUACUGGGCGUAAAGCGCACGCAGGCGGUCUGUCAAGUCGGAUGUGAAAUCCCCGGGCUCAACCUGGGAACUGCAUUCGAAACUGGCAGGCUAGAGUCUUGUAGAGGGGGGUAGAAUUCCAGGUGUAGCGGUGAAAUGCGUAGAGAUCUGGAGGAAUACCGGUGGCGAAGGCGGCCCCCUGGACAAAGACUGACGCUCAGGUGCGAAAGCGUGGGGAGCAAACAGGAUUAGAUACCCUGGUAGUCCACGCCGUAAACGAUGUCGAUUUGGAGGUUGUGCCCUUGAGGCGUGGCUUCCGGAGCUAACGCGUUAAAUCGACCGCCUGGGGAGUACGGCCGCAAGGUUAAAACUCAAAUGAAUUGACGGGGGCCCGCACAAGCGGUGGAGCAUGUGGUUUAAUUCGAUGCAACGCGAAGAACCUUACCUGGUCUUGACAUCCACAGAACUUUCCAGAGAUGGAUUGGUGCCUUCGGGAACUGUGAGACAGGUGCUGCAUGGCUGUCGUCAGCUCGUGUUGUGAAAUGUUGGGUUAAGUCCCGCAACGAGCGCAACCCUUAUCCUUUGUUGCCAGCGGUCCGGCCGGGAACUCAAAGGAGACUGCCAGUGAUAAACUGGAGGAAGGUGGGGAUGACGUCAAGUCAUCAUGGCCCUUACGACCAGGGCUACACACGUGCUACAAUGGCAUAUACAAAGAGAAGCGACCUCGCGAGAGCAAGCGGACCUCAUAAAGUAUGUCGUAGUCCGGAUUGGAGUCUGCAACUCGACUCCAUGAAGUCGGAAUCGCUAGUAAUCGUAGAUCAGAAUGCUACGGUGAAUACGUUCCCGGGCCUUGUACACACCGCCCGUCACACCAUGGGAGUGGGUUGCAAAAGAAGUAGGUAGCUUAACCUCGGAGACGCUAACCACUUGAU